CCCGCAACGAUUGCAACCCUAGUCAUUAGUUGCUACGAAAGGGCACUCUAAUGAGACUGCCUGUGACAAACCGGAGGAAGGUGGGGUCGACGUCAAGUCCUCAUGGUCCUUAUGGGUAGGGCUUCACACGUCAUACAAUGGUCGGUACGAGGGCUGCCAACCCGCGAGGGGGAGCUAAUCCCAGAAAACGGGUCGUAGUCCGGAUUGUAGUCUGCAACUCGACUGCGUGAAGUCGGAAUCGCUAGUAAUCGCUGAUCAGCUUGUCGCGGUGAAUACGUU
RNAcentral lists this ribosomal RNA (279 nucleotides) under beta proteobacterium October_NA1B8. Its description in RNAcentral is "partial 16S ribosomal RNA". It matches the Rfam family "Bacterial small subunit ribosomal RNA", at positions 1086 to 1372 of the family's 1533-position model. The record is from RNAcentral. Lineage: Bacteria; Pseudomonadati; Pseudomonadota; Betaproteobacteria.